GGUUCGAUGGCGUAAUUGGUUAUCGCAUCUGUCUAACAUCCAGAGCCUCACCAAUGUUUCACAGAAGGUCCCCGGUUCGAGCCCGGGUCGAAUCA
Lentinula aff. lateritia is the source of this 95-nucleotide non-coding RNA. The record is from the annotation of a GenBank genome assembly. Lineage: Eukaryota; Fungi; Basidiomycota; Agaricomycetes; Agaricales; Omphalotaceae.